This 11929-nucleotide long non-coding RNA is filed under the name Homo sapiens (human). Its description in RNAcentral is "HSALNT0409503". The record is from RNAcentral. Lineage: Eukaryota; Metazoa; Chordata; Mammalia; Primates; Hominidae.
CAAUGUGCACAAGUACCCUAAAACUUAGAGUAUAAUAAAAAUAAAUAAAUAAAUAAAUAAAUAAAUAAAUAAAUAAAUAAAUAAAAUGUACUCACCCUUGGAUUUAGAAAAAAAAAAAAAAGGCCCAUUUGAAAGUGUUUCCUUAGAUUAAAUUUAGAAGUUGAAAUCAGAAUCUGCUAAAUGCAAUGGGAUUAAAUGUGAUAAGACUUCCACAUUCUUAUGGAGGAGACGUUUAUGUGAAAUAAAUGCCUACAGUUGAACAAACGAUACCCUUAACGUCUUCUUCUGGGAAAAUAGUUAAGUUAUCCUGUCUCUGUUAAUUAAAUGGAAAACAUUGUUACAUCAAUUCAGUUACUCCUAUAAAAGUUGGCAGGAUCUAAAUCUUGUGCCUUUUUCCAGGGCCAACUGUUAACUUCCAAAAAGAUUGCUCAUAGACUACUCAGUCCCCUUGGGCAGGCACUACAUAGGGCUUUCUUCUUGUUAACAAAGUUAUUGUUGACUCAACUAUAGACAGCCCCAGAGGCUAUCUGGGCUCUGAUUAUAUUUUGUACAUUAUAUUUUGUACAUUAAUGUACAUUAUAUCCAUGAUUGGGCUAUAAUGUACAUUAAUGGCUAAGAAUUUAUGUUCUGGAUUCUUCAAUCUUUCAUUAAUAUUCCACUUCUCCCAUAAUUCAUUUUGGUACUUGGAAAUGUUAUCUAGUCUGUUGCAUUCAUAGGGGAAAACUUGGAAUAAUUUGGGGUAGUGCUUAGUCCCACUCUUGGCAUCUAGUGACUCUCAUAUCAGAUAGAGGCAGUCAUCGCAGUGGCCCAAGUGAUCUUGCAACAUCUCCAUCCAUGUUGCUCCAAAGGACCCAAUUUUACUGUAAAUGGUUGUAUAGUAUUUUAUGGUCUACAUAGACCAUAUUUACCAUAUGUUCAUCCAUAUUUUCUUCAUUAAUCUAGCUUUUAAAAACAACUAAUUUGAUUUCAAGUGUUUGUUAUUUAAAAGCCAAGAAGGAAAACAAAUUUUUUUCUUGUAUCACCAUUUAUUUAUUAUUAUUAUUAUUAUUAUUAUUAUUAUUAUUAUUAUUUACUAAGGAAUGGGAUUGGUAGGUUUAAUGAUCCCUCUGUUUUGACUUCUUUGAGAUAUUUCCAGACUACUUUCCACUUUGACUGUAGGAAUUUACAUUGCAUCAACUGGGUCUAAGUAUUUCUUUUUUUCUGAAGUCUUGCUAGCUUCCAUAAUUUUCAUAUUUUUAAAUAAUGUCUAUUCUUAUUGAUACGAAGUGUUAUCUGUUUGUGGUUUUGAUUUGCAUUUGCUAAGAAGAGCCAGCACAAGUACUCAGGAUUUUCAGUAAGUUAGGAGGGUCCCUUUACUUCAAAAGGAGCACACCAGCUGUCUAGUAAUGACUCUCAAUCAGUCUGUACUUUCUGAAAUUACAGAGAUAGAAUUCACAAUCAGAAUAGCAAUAAAUUAGUUGAGAUUGAGCAGAAAGUUGAAAUAAUUCAAGACAGUUAAUUCAUAUAGUGGAACAAUUCAUUCUCACAGGGAGAUUAAAAUCCUAUUUUAAGAAAGAUCCAAGCUGAGCUUCUUGAGAUAAAAAUAAUUACUACAAGCAUUUUUUAAAUACAAUCAGAAAUUAUAACAGCAAAAUAGACCAAUCUGAGGAAAAGAUUUCAUUGCACAAACACUAGUUCUUCAAAUUAACACACUCAGACAAAAAUCAGAAAAUGAAACACAUAAGUGAAAAGCAAACUUAUGACUAAUCAGUAUUUCUGCUCUUCUUCAAAUAAUAGUUCUUAAGAAUCUAUGACAUUAAGAAAACACCGUAUGAGGAAUAUUUGUAAACCCACAGGAGCCGUUUCUCAAUUGUAAAAUAAAGUUUUUCUCUCUCCUGUCCCUGAGAGACAUCCCGUUAAUAGUAAUAGAAUAGAUCAUCAAAGUAAGGAAGACAAUUUCUUAAUGACAUAUCAAUGAAUCAGAUGAGGUAGAUCACAGAACUGCUCUUCUCCAGCUCCCUGAUAGUCUUUUAGGGCUUUUAUUGGGUAUAUGCCACACUUCAAAAUAAUGCUGCUCUGACAAUGUGACAACUCAUUUUCUUUGUUGCUAAAUGCUGUAAGCUAACACAGAUAGCCCCCUAAAUAGAAGAAUAAUGGAACCUAAACCCUGUGUGAGAAAUAUUUAUGUGAAGGAAUUUUGUCAUGGAAGCCAGAGGUUGUUUAUCUGAAGAAUAAUUAUGCAAGUAAUUUCUCACGAUUGGCUAUUAGAAGAAUUGAUGUCUGUCUUUUCCAACUUCAUGAUAAAUUUCCAUUGAGUUCAUUUUAUACUUAACCCUUUAAGUAUAAAGUAUAUACUUCAAGUAUAAAGUGUAAGGUUGCUUCAUUUCAUGGGCCCACCCAGGAUUUAAAGGUGUAUUCCCUGAAAGAAUUGGUUCCUUCCGGUGGGUUCCUGGCUGACUUCAAGAAUGAAGCUGCAGACACUUAUGGACUGGGAGGAGGCCCACGAGAAAAACAGGAAGAACAAGAGAAAGGCUGAGGCUCUAGUGGCUGCUUUGCAGACUUGCAGAGUCCAGGAUCCCCCAGGAACUUCCACUGAUUGCUACCUGUUACCAGUGUUAAAGCCAGGGCACUUUAAGAAGAAUUGCCCAAGCCACAAGAAAAAGCCACCUUGACCACUUUUGUGGUGAAGACCACUGGAGAUUGCACUACUGACCACCAAGACAGAGACACAAUAGCGAAUCUAGAAGUGGAAGUGUGAGAGAUACCUGCAGCUGUUAAGAUGUCUGGGAAUAGACACACAAACUCUCUCUCCCAGAUAAGCAACACAAAGCAGCACAGAGCAACAGAGACUGAAAGUCUGCCUACCUGAUCAGGGAAUAAGUUAGUGAUGGCAAUAACAAGCUGUCUGGAGGAGCUACUGCCAUCACAAAGGCUGCAGUGGUGAGGCAUGAGUGGUGCCAGCAAGACAGGCUGAGGGAGAAGCAGUGGUGGCAGUCUGACCCCAUGCCCCGUGUCCCUGAGGCAGCUGAUGGUGCUGCUCCAAUCCUUUCACCACUGCACAAAACUUGUUCCCAGGCCCAGAGACUUCAUUGCUCUAAACUCUGGCCCCACACUGCUGCUCUCACACACUGCCACUACUAGGAUGGUUUCGGAAGGAGGAAGACAGUCACUGGAGCCUGCCCCUGGGAGCCUACUGCCCUGGAGGCCACUGCAAUAAAGUCAGGUUGAUUCACUUAUCAACAGGAGAGCACCGUGGUCAGGCAAAGAAGGGCCCAAGGUGGAGAUGGUACAAGGGUAGUGUGUUACUUCCACAUGGAGUGCAGGGGCUGGCCUGCAGUGCAGAGCUGAGACCAUGAUUCAGGAGCCCAGGGUGGGAAGUGUGAGUGGUGCCCACAUCGGAUGGCCAUGGCACUUACACCUCUGAGGGUGCCAGGUUCUUGUGCCUUGAGAGAGGCUCUGAGUGGAGCCACAUGUUCACUGGGUCUGCCCCAUAUCAGAGUGACCACUGAGACUGACACUUCCUGAAAGCAUUUUCCUGAGAAGGGAUGCAACCUGGGUAAGGGGAAGCCCUGGGCCACCCUGAGCACUGGGUGGGGGGGCAUUGAGCGAUCUCACAGAAAUGUCACCCUUGCCCCAGACACCAAACCAGGCCCAGUGAGGACAUGGAUUCCCUGCCCCAGGCUGCAAGAGGGCAUGACUGGGGCUGCUUGCUCCACAGAGCCAGUCUCCACUUGGAGGACAAGUGGGACCAGUGCCCUUUCUGAGUUGGUGGGUGGUAACUCCCCAGGUAAAGCUGCUGCUGCCAUUCUGCCACUGCAAAGCUGGAAAUUUCUGCACUCUCAGGGUUGGAAAAUGCCCUUUUGCCUCCCCAUGGGCUUGAGGGUACUUGCUCCCACUGCCGGGAUUCUCCCUAGUGUUGAUGCCUCCUUCAGUAUUGGAGCAAGCUGGGCACUGAGCCUAGGUGCUGUUGCAGCCCAGCCUAGUAUGCACACACUCAGGGCAGAAUUGACAGGCCAGCCCCCUGCCAUUUUGGCCCUCUGCAGACUUUGGCCACCAACAAGCACAGGAGGGAGUACCAGUGGUGUGGUGGGGGUGCUGAGGGCAGCCUGGGGCUUGCAUCUUGGUGACCCUUAGCAUGAACAGUCUCGGAACAAUUUACAGCAGCAGGAGGCAGACAGGCUGUUUGACCGAAGGGGACAGAACUCAGAUGAAACCCCAUCUUCAAGCCAGGGAGGGCCCAAAGCCUGGGGUCCAGGCAACCAGUUCCAGAGACCAGAAGGGAAACUUGUGUUGCUUGUUCCUGAGCCCACCCAUGGCAACCAAUGGACCAAUCAGCACUCACUUCUUCCUCACUGCAGUCCAUAAAAAGCCUACACUCAGCCAGACUCAAAAAGAAGAUAGAUGAUGGUGAGAUGAAGGACUGGUCUGCCUGCAGAGAGGAGCUCUCCGCUACAAGUCUCUCCCUUCUAGGAGAUGAACAUUUGUAGGGAGACCCUGACUGAGCCACCAACUGCAGGUCUUCUCUGAGCUGUUUUAUCACUCAAUAAAACUCCUUCUCAUCCUACUUACUCUUCACUUGUCUGCAUACAUCAUUCUUCCUAGUCACAGAACAAGAACUUGGAACUUAUCGAAUGGCAAAUCUAAGAAAGCUGUAACACAAACAGGGCUAAAACAUGUCCCUUGGUUCCCACAUUAUGGGCAAAAAGUAAGAAAAAAAAAGUUGUGGUCUUCAGGAACCUCAGACCUGUGAGCUCCCUGAGGCAAGUUUGUGACUUUAUUUUGGGGGCACUGUGGCUUCUGAGGCAAGGUUAUGACUUUCUUUCUGGGGCACUGUGGUUCCUGGCAUCUCCAAGCCUCAAGGCACCACCACAUUUCUCAGUGCUAGUCAUAAAAGCUACUUUCAGUACCCCUGGUCCAGCUGCAGCCUUGCAGAGACCUGGCAGAUGGAAUUGCCCACUACAUGGCAGCAGCCAGCGUGUCUGACUGCAGUAACCAGAAUUCACUCUUGCUGACACACCUUUUGCUGCUUCACACCUGACUUGUAAUCUUUCUUAGAGGAUGGUAUCCAGACAAGUAGCAUAAGCCAAGCAUAGCCUGCCAGGCCAAAUUAGUGGAAUAAGCCCGGUGGGCCUAAGAAAAUGCAGGCAAAUGAGCUACCAGCUACAGAUAUUUCCAUCCAGAAAAGUGACAUUUCCAAAUAUCUCAUAUCUCUAGGUUUUCCAGUACUAUCUUGAGUAAGUGUUGUCAGUCGACAUUCUUUUCAUAUUUCAUACCUUAGAAGAAAGGCUUUUAGUUUUUCUUCAUUCAGUAACAUACUAGCUGUGGAUUUGUAAUAUAUGGAUUCUAUUUUGUUAAAGCAUGUCAUUUCUAUACCCAGCAGGUUGAGGGGUUUCAUCAUUGGGAGUGCUGAAUAUAUUCGAAUGCUUUUUCAGAGUUAACUAAAAUAAUCAUGUGGCUUUAUUCCUUCCUUCUGUUGACACAAUGUUUCAUAUUAAUUGAUUUACCCAUAUGUUGAACAAUUCUUGCAUCAAAGGAAUAAAUCCAACUUGGUCAUAAUGAGUGAUCUUUCUAAUGCAUGGUGAAAUUUGGUUUGCUUGUAUUUUGUUGAGAAAUUUUUCAUAAAUAUUUAUAAGAGAUAUUGGCCUGUAGUUUUUCACUGAUGUGUUCUUGUCUGGUUUUGUUAUUAGAGUAGUACUCGUCUUGUAAAGUUACUUUAAAAGUAUUACCUCCUACUCUAUUUUUCAGAAAAGUUUGAAUUUGACUUGUAUUAAUUUUUAUAAAUGUUUGGUAGAAUUCAGCUGCAAAGACAUUAGUUCCUGGGUUUAUUUUAAGAACAUACUUUAUAUAUAUAUAUGUGUGUGUGUAUAUAUAUAUAUGUGUGUGUAUAUAUAUAAUUAUACUUUAACUUCUAGGGUACAUGUGCACAAUCUGCAGGUUUAUUACAUAUGUAUACAUCUGCCAUGUUGGUGUGCUUCACCCAUUAACUCAUCAUUUACAUUAGGUAUUUCACCUAAUGCUAUCCCUCUCCACUCCCCCUACCCCAUGAUAGGCCCCAGUGUCGAAAUGUUCUCAUUGUUUAAUUCCCACCUAUGAGUGAGAACAUGUGGUGUUUGGUUUUCUGUCCUUGCAAUAGUUUGCUCAGAAUGAUGGUUUCCAGCUCAUCCAUGUCCCUACAAAGGACAUGAACUCAUUCUUUUUUAUGGCUGCAUAGUAUUCCAUGGUGUAUAUGUGCCACAGUUUCUUAAUCCAGUCUAUCAUUGAUAGACAUUUGAGUUGGUUCCAAGUCUUUGCUAUUGUGAAUAGUGCUGCAAAAAACAUACUCAUGCUCAUGUCUUUAUAGCAGCAUGAUUUAUAAUCUUUUCAGUAUAUACCCGGUAAUGGGAUCGCUGGGUCAAAGGAUAUUUCUAGUUCUAGAUCCUUGAGGAAUCGCCACACUGUCUUCCACAAUGGUUAAACUAGUUUACACUUGCACCAACAGUAUAAAAGCAUUCCUAUUUCUCCACAUCCUCUCCAGCACCUGUUUUUUCCUGACAAUUUUUUUUUUAUAAUUUAAGUUCUAGGGUACAUGUGCACAAAGUGCGGGUUUGUUACAUAUGUGCCAUGUUGGUGUGCUGCACCCAUUACCUCAUCAUUUACAUUAGGUAUAUCUCCUAAUGCUACCCCGCUCCCCAUCCUCCACCUCACAAUAGGCACCCGUGUGUGAUGUACCCCUUCCUGUGUCCAAGUGUUCUCCUUGUUCAGUUCCUACCUAUGAGUGAGAAUGUGUGGUGUUUGGUUUUUUAUCCUUGCAACAGUUUGCUGAGAAUGAUGGUUUCCAGUUUCAUCCAUGUCCCUACAAAGGACACGAACACAUCCUUUUUUAUGGCUGCAUAGUAUUCCAUGGUGUAUAUGUGCCACAUUUUCUUAAUCCAGUCUAUCAUUGAUGGACAUUUGAGUUGGUUCCAAGUCUUUGCUAUUGUGAAUAGUGCAGCAAUAAAUGUACAUGUGCAUGUGUCUUCAUAGCAGCAUGUUUUAUAAUCCUUUGGGUAUAUACCCAGUAAUGGAAUGGCAGGGUCAAAUGUUAUUUCUAGUUCUAGAUCCCUGAGGAAUCACCACACCUUCUUCCGCAAUGGUUGAACUAGUUUACAGUCCCACCAACAGUGUAAAAGUGUUCCUAUUUCUCCACAUCCUCUCCAGCAGCUGUUGUUUCCUGACUUUUUAAUGAUUGCCAUUCUAACUGGUGUGAGAUGGUAUCUCAUUGUGGUUUUGAUCUGCAUUUCUCUGAUGGCCAGUGAAGAUGAGCAUUUUUUCAUGUGUCUGUUGGCUGCAUAAAUGUCUUCUUUUGAUGAGUGUCUGUUCAUAUCCUUUGCCCACUUUUUGAUGGGGUUGUUUGUUUUUUUCUUGUAAAUUCGUUUGAGUUCUUUGUAGAUUCUGGAUAUUAGCCCUUUGUCAGAAGAGUAGAUUGCAAAAUUUUCUUCCAUUCUGUAGGCUGCCUGUUCACUCUGAUGGUAGUUUCUUUUGCUGUGCAGAAGCUCUUUAGUUUAAUUAGAUCCCAUUUGUCAAUUUUGGCUUUUGUUGCCAUUGCUUUUGGUCUUUUAGUCAUGAAGCCCUUUCCCAUGCCUAUGUCCUGAAUGGUAUUGACUAGGUUUUCUUCUAGGGUUUUUAUGGCUUUAGGUCUAACAUGCAAGUCUUUAAUCCAUCUUGAAUUAAUUUUUGUAUAAGGUAUAAAGAAGAGAUCCAGUUUCAGCUCUCUACAUAUGGCUAGCCAGUUUUCCCAGCACCAUUUAUUAAAUAGGGAAUCCUUUCCCCAUUUUUUGUUUCUUUCAGGUUUGUCAAAGAUCAGAUGGUUGUAGAUGUGUGGUAUUAUUUCUGAGGGCUCAGGUCUGUUCAGUUGGUCUAUAUCUCUGUUUGGUACCAGUACCAUGCUAUUUUGGUUACUGUAGAAGGCUACAAUUAUGCACAAUUAUGUUAUUAUAGUCACUGGUAUGCUAUUAAGUAGUGCUGAUACGCUAUUAAGUAGUUUUUAGUCAGCUAAAAACUCUCAAUAAACUAGGUAUUGAUGGGACAUAUCUCAAAAUAAUAAGAGCUAUUUAUGGCACACCUACAGCCAAUAUCAUACUGAAUGGGCAAAACUGGAAGCAUUCCCUUUGAAAACUGGCACAAGACAGGGAUGCCCUCUCUCAUCACUCCUGUUCAACAUAGCGUUGGAAGUUCUGUCCAGCGCAAUCAGACAGAAGAAAGAAAGAAAGCAUCUUCUAUUAGGAAAAGAGGAAAUCAAAUUGUCCCUGUUUGCAGAUGACAUGAUUGUAUAUUUAGAAAACCCCAUCGUCUCAGACCAAAAUCCCCUUAAGCUGAUAUGCAAAUUCAGCAAAUUCUAAGGAUACAAAAUCAAUGUGCAAAAAUCACAAGCAUUUGUAUGCACCAAUAACAGACAAACAGAGAGCCAAAUCAUGAGUGAACUCCCAUUCACAAUUGCUUCAAAGAGAAUAAAAUACCUAGGAAUCCAACUUACAAGGGAUGUGAAGGACCUCUUCAAGGAAAACUACAAACCACUGCUCAAUGAAAUAAAAGAGGACACAAAUAAAUGUAAGAACAUUCCAUGCUCAUGAAUAGGAAGAAUCAAUAUCAUGAAAAUGGCCAUACUGCCCAAGGUAAUUUGUAGAUUCAAUGCUAUCCCCAUCAAGCUAUAAAGGCGCAGAAUUGGAAAAAACUACUUUAAAGUUCAUAUGGAACCAAAAAAGAGCCUGCAUUGCCAACACAAUCCUAAGCAAAAAGAAAAAAGCUGGAGGCAAGAAAAUACUUUAUAUUAUAACUUUGAUCUCAUUAAUUCUUAUUGGGCAGUUUAUGUUUUGCCUUUAUUCCAGGCUUAAUUUUGGUAGGUUAUAUUUGCCUAGGAUAGUGACAACUUAAAUUUUCCAAUUUCUUUGCAUAAGUAGUAAUCCUUUGAAUUUCUUUUUUUAAAUUUUAUUAUUAUUAUACUUUAAGUUUUAAGGUACAUGUGCACAACGUGCAGGUUUGUUACAUAUGUAUACGUGUGCCAUGUUGGUGUGCUGCACCCAUUAACUCAUUGUUUAGCAUUAGGUAUAUCUCCUAAUGCUAUCCCUCCCCACUCCCCCAACCCCACAACAGUCCCCAGUGUGUGAUGCUCCCCUUCCUGUGUCCAAGUGUUCUCAUUGUUCAGUUCCCACCUAUGAGUGAGAAUAUGCGGUGUUUAGUUUUUUGUCCUUGUGAUAGUUUGCUGAGAAUGAUGGCUUCCAGUUUCAUCCAUGUUCCUGCAAAGUACAUGAACUCAUCAUUUUUUAUGGCUGCAUAGUAUUCCAUGGUGUAUAUGUGCCACAUUUUCUUAAUCCUGUCUAUCAUUGAUGGACAUUUGAGUUGGUUCCAAGUCUUUGCUAUUGUGAAUAGUGCCACAAUAAACAUACGUGUGCAUGUGUCUUUAUAGCAGCAUGAUUUAUAGUCCUUUGGGUAUAUACCCAGUAAUGGGAUGGCUGGGUCAAAUGGUAUUUCUAGUUCUAGAUCCCUGAGGAAUCGCCACACUGACUUCCACAAUGGUUGAACUAGUUUACAGUCCCACCAACAGUGUAAAAGUGUUUUAUUUCUCCACAUCCUCUCCAGCACCUGUUGUUUCCUGACUUUUUAAUGAUUGCCAUUCUAACUGGUGUGAGAUGGUAUCUCAUUGUGGUUUUGAUCUGCAUUUCUCUGAUGGCCAGUGAAGAUGAGCAUUUUCUCAUGUGUUUUUUGGCUGCAUAAAUGUCUUCUUUUGAGAAGUGUCUGUUCAUAUACUUCACCCACUUUUUGAUGGGGUUGUUUGUUUUUUCUUGUAUAUUUGUUUGAGUUCAUUGUAGAUUCUGGAUAUUAGCCCUUUGUCAGAUGAGUAGGUUGUGAGCUUCUGCAUGGCAAAAGAAACUACCAUCAGAGUGAACAGGCAACCUACAGAAUGGGAGAAAACUUUUGCAACCUACUCAUCUGAUCCUUUGAAUUUCUGUAGUAUCAUUUUAUAUCCAGUUUUUAAUUUCUGAUUUUAUUUAUGUGGGUCUCCUUUUUUUUCUUAUUCUGGCUGAAACUUCCUCAGAUUUGUUUAGCUUUUGAUAUAAUUAACAUCUCUAAUUGACUUUUGUGUUAUUUUCUUUAUGCUUAACAUUAUUAUGAGUAUAUUUUUUAAAUUUUAACUUUUUGGGUAUAUAAUAAGUAUAUAUAUUUAUGGGUGACAUAAGAUGUCAUGGUAUAGGCAUGCAAUGUGAAAUACGGGAAUUGGGUAUCCAUAAUCUCAUGUACUUAACCACUGUGUUGAAAACAAUAUAAUUAUAUCUUUAAGAUAUUUCAAAAUGCACAAUUAUUUUAUUAUGGUCACUGGUAUGCUAUUAAGUAUUAAGUAUUUUUAAUUAUUUCUAAUGUUUUUGCAACCAUUAAUCAUUCCCACCUCUUCCCCUCCCUCCCAAUACCUUUCCAAGACACUGGCAACCAUCCGCUAUGUAUAAAUAUGUUUUUAUUUUUAGGUUCCUAAAUAAGUGUGAACAUGUGUUCAUUGUCUCUCUGUACUUGGCUUAUUUCACAAAAUAUAAUAACUUUAUUUCCAUCUAUGGUGUUGCAAAUGACUGGAUUUUAUUUUUAUUGUCUAUAUUGUACUCUUUUGUGUGUAUGUUUCACAUUUUCUUCAUACAUUCUUCUGGAAGAAUGGACACUUAAGUUGUUUUUAAAUCUUAGCUAUUGCAAACAGUGCUGCAACAAACAUAAAAUCACGGACAUUUCUUUGAUAUAUUCACUUCUUUUUUUCUGGGAUAUAUGCUUAGCAGUAAGAUACAUGGUAGCUGAAUCAUAUGGUAGCUCAAUUAUUAGUUUUUUGUGGAAUGUUCAAAUUUUUUUUCAUAAUGCUUGUACCAAUUUACAUUCCCACCAACAGUGUACAAAGAUACCAUUUUAUUCGAAUCCUCACCAGUAUUUGUUAUUGCCUGUUUUAUGAAUAUAAGCAAUUUUAGCUGGUGUAUGGCAGACUUCCAAAAUCAAAUUUCAAUUUCAAUGUUGUCCUCCCUGUUGCCCAGCUUUUCGGAACUAUAUAGAGGCCCUGAAGUAUCCAGAAAAGGGGUAAACAGGAUUAUUUGACAUGUUUAGGUUUAUGAGAUUGCCGAAGUGAUGUCUAAUCUUCUUCAUGCUAUAGUUUAGUGAAUUAUAUUAAUGUACUUUUUAAAACCAUAUGGAACAUCUAAGGCUCUAAUGUCUGAAUAUGUACUAUCAAUCACAGUUCAGGUUAUUUUGUUGGGUUAUUGUAAACCCCCAAAACAACUGAAUUUCUUUGCUCAUUGUGUUCCUGAUUGUAUUCACUCUGGAGAUUUUGUCAUUUAAAGACAAUUGUUGUCUGGUUUUAAUUGUCUUUAAAAUAUGGUUUAUAAUCAACUUUGAAAUUUUAAAAGGUGUUCUGAAAUGCAUGUUUUUGAUAACUGAAAAUCACACAGAGCUCAUGAAAAGCUAAAAUGUUUAUAAUUGUAAAGCAGAGCAAUAGUUAAUAAAAGAAAGUAAACUAAUAGAAAACUAAAGCAGUAUUUUUUACUUUUGCUUGGAACAUUGCUGAUUCUCAUUUUGUUGUUUAGAGUCAAAAAAAAUUUCAUAAAACCAGAGACUGUUACAUCUUGGUCCACUGUUGAGACUACAACACUUCUUGUUUUCCUCUUUCUUAUUCAAUUUAUAUCAGUAUGGCCUCAUAAAUAUUUAUUUUAUUAUCUUGGUUAUAAAUUAAUGUUAUUCUUAUUUAUUUUGUUGCUCCCAUUUCUUCAGCUUGGCCUAUUGGAAAGUCCAUGUGGCAAUUCCAUAAUCUUCACAAGGUGUCCAUCAAUAUGCCUCAAUCGCCUUCUCUACUGUGACAGCUGACAUUGCAGAAACAGUGGCUUUUAAACCCUGUGCUUGCCUUUGAGUUUUCACUGAACAAAAGUGAAGGUGGCUAAUUUCCUUGUUGGAACAAAGCUGAAAUAUAUUGCCU